Molecule: long non-coding RNA, 652 nt
Filed under: Vombatus ursinus (common wombat)
Lineage: Eukaryota; Metazoa; Chordata; Mammalia; Diprotodontia; Vombatidae
Description: lncRNA (ENSVURG00010024258.1)
Source: RNAcentral
UUUGUAUAUAUGAAGCAUUUCACCAAUAUUUGUUGAAUGAAUCAGCUCAUUUUUUUUUUUUUCAGGUGAAGGGAGACCUCUUUGAAGAGGUUAAGUGACUGGUCCAAGGUGACACAAUUACAUAUGGCACAGGAAGGACUAGAGUUUUGCCCUUUGCCUCUUGGUGCUGUGUUCUUUGUGAUGUUUCAUGCAACCCAUGUUGCAGACAGCUGAAAGAUAAUUUAGAUACAUUACCCAUAGGGAGUGACUUGACGUGCCAUCAAAGACAUCCUCUGCUUAUGCAGAUGCACCAGAUGUGGCCAAAGGAAACUGCUCAAAUCGUUUGCUCCCACUAGCAGCUCAUGAGGUGAUCCCGACAGCAAUUUACCAGAAGGGUCAACAUUGUGAAAGUGGCUAUUUAAGAAGAGUAGCAUCUCAGGUCCUAGCAUCUCAAAGGUGCUUGGAAAAUAGCUCCUUCUUGGAAAAUUACCAACACUUACACAUAGGAUUUCUGUGGUUAAAAAAAGUCCACCAAGUUCUCCUCUUUCUACCAGCAGAGGGCAUGUUUCACAGCCCUGUCUCUUUAUGCCCAUCGACUAAAGGUAAGAAAAAAAAGGGUCUGAAUGUUUUAUGUCCUGCAUGCCCAAAGGCUUUAAAAAGUUAUUAUUGUUGU